UAAUACGGAGGGUGCAAGCGUUAUCCGGAUUUAUUGGGUUUAAAGGGUCCGUAGGCGGACUUAUAAGUCAGUGGUGAAAGCCUGUCGCUUAACGAUAGAACUGCCAUUGAUACUGUAAGUCUUGAGUAUAUUUGAGGUAGCUGGAAUAAGUAGUGUAGCGGUGAAAUGCAUAGAUAUUACUUAGAACACCAAUUGCGAAGGCAGGUUACCAAGAUAUAACUGACGCUGAGGGACGAAAGCGUGGGGAGCGAACAGGAUUAGAUACCCCGGUAGUCCACGCCGUAAACGAUGCUAACUCGUUUUUGGGCUUUAGGGUUCAGAGACCAAGCGAAAGUGAUAAGUUAGCCACCUGGGGAGUACGCUCGCAAGAGUG
RNAcentral lists this ribosomal RNA (373 nucleotides) under uncultured bacterium. Its description in RNAcentral is "bacterial SSU rRNA". It matches the Rfam family "Bacterial small subunit ribosomal RNA", at positions 521 to 896 of the family's 1533-position model. The record is from RNAcentral.